RNAcentral lists this long non-coding RNA (426 nucleotides) under Calidris pugnax (ruff). Its description in RNAcentral is "lncRNA (ENSCPUG00000008870.1)". The record is from RNAcentral. Lineage: Eukaryota; Metazoa; Chordata; Aves; Charadriiformes; Scolopacidae.
CGGACUAGAAUUUGUCAAUGGAAGAUGCUAGAUCUUGUUCUGUUGGCUUUGCGGAGGAUUUACCUGUGGAAUCCAAGUGCUUGCACAACUCUGCUGAGAAGUUCCAGAGCUGACCUUCAGCAUCACUCCUGAGCGACUGCUCGAGCUGCGCACCCUGAAACCUCCCCUGGCUUCAGGCUCUGCUGUCACCCAUCUCUUCAGAGUGUGCUUAAGGCACCCAAACUGCUGGUACCAAGGCGAGCACAGCUCUACCUCACCCGGAAUUUUACUCUCAGCCCCAUUAUUGGUGUUCCGACACGUGUUGGCUGGACAGUUGCUGUAGGACAGAUCAAGCAGUUCUUGUCUGAAAAUCUGGAGUCCAGUGUAACCAAGUGGAAAGUGAAGAUAUUUGGUGACGUAGAAAUAUUUUUAACAGGGAAAUGCAGC